This 256-nucleotide ribosomal RNA is filed under the name uncultured bacterium. RNAcentral describes it as "partial 16S ribosomal RNA". It matches the Rfam family "Bacterial small subunit ribosomal RNA", at positions 524 to 777 of the family's 1533-position model. The record is from RNAcentral.
UACGUAGGGUGCGAGCGUUAAUCGGAAUUACUGGGCGUAAAGGGCGCGUAGGCGGGAUGGCAAGUCGGUCGUGAAAUCCUUCGGCUCAACCGAAGAACGUCGGCCGAUACUGCCGUUCUUGAGGGAUGCAGAGGAGAUUGGAAUUCCCGGUGUAGCGGUGAAAUGUGUAGAGAUCGGGAGGAACACCGGUGGCGAAGGCGGGUCUCUGGGGCAUCUCCUGACGCUGAGGCGCGAAAGCGGUGGGGAGCAAACGGGG